AGAAAAAGAUAAAUGGGCACCGCCAAAUGCUCACCGAUUAUUGAAAACCGGUGGUAAAAAUGUAAGACAAAGACAAAAAAAAAAAAACAAGUUUAAUAAAGAGAAAUGCCCACCGGUUAACCGGUGGCCUUUUCCCAAAUAAAUAAAAAUCCCUAAAUUAGAACACUCACUCUUUCCUUGUUAUUCACGAACUAUCUCGUUCUCUCUCCUCACUCUCCUGUUUCCUCUCUCCUCUCAAACUCUUUGUCUCCUCUCUCUUCUCGCGCCACCGCAGCCACCACAAGCGCAACCAUCCCCUCUCUCCUCUUUCUCCAUCCUAGCUUCCCACCACAGCCACCACCAGAGCAACCCUCCUCUCUCUGCAUCCUAGCUUUCCACCACCACCACCGCAUUCGUCACUAAUGAAGAUGUCAAAGCAAGUCCUUAAAAAACUUGGAGAACGAUCCCUAGAUCUCUAAUGGUGACGCUGCUCCUCACAAGGUGUCAAUUAUCAAUUUGGAUAUUUGCGAAUUUGGCACUACACCUAUAUUGAGGGGCUGAGAUUGGAAAUUGAAGGGAAGAUAAUGAAGAGUCCAAGUAUCAAUAAGUUCAUCUCUACAUUACUUCAGUGCAUUCGGAACAACAUCAAACUGUCCAACAAAACGAUGUUUGUGAUGCAAAAGCUGGUGCUGAUCUUCUUGACAUGAUUCUUUGCAAGGCAAAUUCCUUUUUAUUAUUUUUAAUUUUCAUAAUUAAAUAUUUUGUUUUGGGCAUUAGAAUCUAGGUUGAUAUUGCGCUCUCUUUAAUGGGGAGGAUAAAGAAAUGUAAUUUAUUGUAUUUAUUGUAUAUGCUUUUGCUCACUUACAAGAUGAUGAAGUAAAUAGGUUAGGAGUGGUAGUGUUUUAUGUUGAUUGUAUCUAGCAUUGUUAUUCAUUCGUUGCUUAUGUGUAGUAGUUGCAUCAGCUAUAAUGCGGGAAGCUGUAGUUCUUUGAGUUGAAAUAGCAUUAAUUCUCCCAUAAUAUCUGGUGAUAUUGAGGUUGUGUUAUCUGUAAGACUGGUCUAAAAAGGUGAUUUCACAUUAUAGUCCAUUACAUAUCUACCUGUCAAAAUUUGCAAAUUUGGCCUACUAUUUUGUAAUAGUCUCUUGAUGUUCACUACUAGUUUGGUUGUUGACAGAAAACUUCUUAUGUGAGCAUAAUGUUAUUAAUUUCAUUAAUUUUGAAAUUUAAUCAACAUCUUUAGUAGUGCUCAUUAUUUAGCAUGAUAAAUAUAAUUAGAUGAUUUGAAGAUAAUAAAAUGGAUAAUUACAAUUUAGUAGUGCUCAUCUUUCACAGUUGUGAGGACUUUCUAUUUCCCUUUUCUUUUCUGACAUUUCUAUCUUAUGCAUUCGAGCUAGUAGGGAAUCCUGAACCAAAACCUUCACCAACUUCAGAAAGUGGUACAUUUAUUCUCCAUACUUAAUCUGGUAUAAUUACAAGGGGCAUAGCCUCGCAAGGCUGUUGGUGCAGCUGUUGCCUCGCAGAGCAGCUGCUGCUGCUGCCUCGCAGGGGUGCAGCUGCCUCGCACUAUAUGCCGACUUUGCUGCUGGUGUUCUGCUUCUGUGCUGCUCCUUAUCUGGUGUUCUGCUUCUGUGCUGCUCCUUAUGUGCUGCUGUUAUGCUGGUAUUCUGCUUCUGUGCUGCUCCUUAUGACAAGUCUCGCAUAUGUUUGUAACCUUGUAUUUUAUUUUAAUUUUUUAGACAAAAAUUGUAAUAUUACAACAUUUAUUUAUGAAAAAAUGUAAGUUUAUAUA
This is a long non-coding RNA of Chenopodium quinoa (quinoa), 1770 nucleotides long. RefSeq lists it as uncharacterized. Lineage: Eukaryota; Viridiplantae; Streptophyta; Magnoliopsida; Caryophyllales; Amaranthaceae. The transcript is spliced from 3 exons. The record is from RefSeq and is a predicted model, not a curated record.